This 253-nucleotide ribosomal RNA is filed under the name uncultured bacterium. RNAcentral's name for it is "partial 16S ribosomal RNA". It matches the Rfam family "Bacterial small subunit ribosomal RNA", at positions 524 to 776 of the family's 1533-position model. The record is from RNAcentral.
UACGUAGGGGGCAAGCGUUGUCCGGAUUUAUUGGGCGUAAAGAGCGUGUAGGCGGUUUUGCAAGCCGGAUGUGAAAUCCCCGGGCUCAACCUGGGAAUGGCAUUCGGGACUGCAAGGCUGGAGUGCGGCAGAGGAGACUGGAAUUCCUGGUGUAGCAGUGAAAUGCGUAGAUAUUCGGAAGAACACCAGUGGCGAAGGCGACUUACUGGACACAUAUUGACGCUGAGGUGCGAAAGCGUGGGGAGCAAACAGG